Molecule: long non-coding RNA, 974 nt
Filed under: Mytilus galloprovincialis (Mediterranean mussel)
Lineage: Eukaryota; Metazoa; Mollusca; Bivalvia; Mytilida; Mytilidae
Source: RNAcentral
CUAUUUCAAUAUUUAUUGUAAAAAAAAACAACCUUAAAGUACCAAAAUACAUAUUUUAAGUGUGUUGCAGGAUUAAAUCCUUAAAUGAAAGUGAAGGAAUAAAUGUAUGGUUUAUACAAGGUAAAGUGACUUCCAUAUUGCUUCAUAUGUUGUUAUUCAGGAUAAUUUAGUGAUACAUAAAUUAAUUUACCUUUUAAAUGAUAUUUGCAAAAUCAGUUUCUUUGUUUUGCACACAAUUUUUUUUUAAAAUUACACCUAUUUUUACAUACAAAGUUUUUCAAUGUACCAUAAAAAAAAAAAACCAAGAUGCUGUAUAACCAUAGUUCACAUUUUGUUUGUAGCUAUUUAAAAUACUAUAAUAUUAACAAUUUGAAAAAUGGAAGAUUCAUCUACCAAUAUUUAUGGUUAAUUGAACAGAUGAACAAGUAAGUAAAAUACUUUUUUGGUCUAAACGAGAGACCAUUUUUAAGCUUGGCAAACGGUACAUACACUUUUUACUGUUAAAGACUAUGUUACCCUCUAGAUGGCUGUUCUAAUUUUACUGUGUUUUAGGGUUGUUGUCACAAUUUAAAAUAAUACCUAAAAUUAAAGCAUUAGUGAUUUUCUAUAGGAUAUUUAUCAUGUAAUAAUCUGGGGAGAAAUUCAUUUUCUGCACACAUACCAUAAGAAGACCUGAAAAGUGAACACUCUUGACAUCAAUAGUGAUUCAAUUUCAAAGAAUAAUUAACCGAUCAUUCUUUAUUAUACAAAAACACAGUAGGUAUGGAAAACUCCCCAAAAUAGAUUGAUAUGCAUAACAAUAUUUAAAAAAAAAUGAAAUUAAAAAUAUAUAUACAAAUUUGCACUUAAUGAAAACAUGGCACUAUAGAUUAUAAGCAUAUUAAAUUGUAUUGCUAAACUAUUUCAUAAAAUCACAAUAACCAAUAAAAAAUAAAGCUAAUGUAAAAAUCUUUGAAUAUUAAGUCAUGAAAUUU